Molecule: ribosomal RNA, 841 nt
Filed under: Pterula sp.
Lineage: Eukaryota; Fungi; Basidiomycota; Agaricomycetes; Agaricales; Pterulaceae
Description: partial large subunit ribosomal RNA
Rfam family: Eukaryotic large subunit ribosomal RNA
Source: RNAcentral
GGAUUCCCCUAGUAACUGCGAGUGAAGCGGGAAAAGCUCAAAUUUAAAAUCUGGCAGUUCUUGAAGCUGUCCGAGUUGUAAUUUAGAGAAGCGUUAUCCGUGCUGGACCGUGUACAAGUCUCCUGGAACGGAGCGUCAUAGAGGGUGAGAAUCCCGUACAUGACACGGACUCCCAGUGCUUUUGUGAUACGCUCUCAAAGAGUCGAGUUGUUUGGGAAUGCAGCUCAAAAUGGGUGGUAAAUUCCAUCUAAAGCUAAAUACAGGCGAGAGACCGAUAGCGAACAAGUACCGUGAGGGAAAGAUGAAAAGAACUUUGGAAAGAGAGUUAAACAGUACGUGAAAUUGUUGAAAGGGAAACGCUUGAAGUCAGUCGCGUUGUUCAGGGAUCAGCCUUGCUUUGCUUGGUGUACUUCCUGUUCAACGGGUCAGCAUCAGCUUUGACCGCUGGAAAAAGUUCAUAGGAAUGUGACAUCUUCGGAUGUGUUAUAGCCCAUGUUCGUAUACAGCGGUUGGGACUGAGGACUCAGCACUCGAUGCUUGGGAUGCUGGCAUAAUGGCUUUAAGCGACCCGUCUUGAAACACGGACCAAGGAGUCUAACAUGCCCGCGAGUGUUUGGGUGGAAAACCCGAGCGCGCAAUGAAAGUGAAAAGUUGGGAUCUCUGUCGUGGAGAGCACUGACGCCCGGACCUGAUGUUUUCGGACGGUUCUGCGGUAGAGCGUGUAUGUUGGGACCCGAAAGAUGGUGAACUAUGCCUGAAUAGGGCGAAGCCAGAGGAAACUCUGGUGGAGGCUCGUAGCGAUUCUGACGUGCAAAUCGAUCGUCGAAUUUGGGUAUAGGGG